Molecule: ribosomal RNA, 429 nt
Filed under: Staphylococcus epidermidis
Lineage: Bacteria; Bacillati; Bacillota; Bacilli; Caryophanales; Staphylococcaceae
Description: bacterial SSU rRNA
Rfam family: Bacterial small subunit ribosomal RNA
Source: RNAcentral
AGACUGGGAUAACUUCGGGAAACCGGAGCUAAUACCGGAUAAUAUAUUGAACCGCAUGGUUCAAUAGUGAAAGACGGUUUUGCUGUCACUUAUGGAUGGAUCCGCGCCGCAUUAGCUAGUUGGUAAGGUAACGGCUUACCAAGUGCAACGAUGCGUAGCCGACCUGAGAGGGUGAUCGGCCACACUGGAACUGAGACACGGUCCAGACUCCUACGGGAGGCAGCAGUAACGGUAAUCUUCCGCAAUGGGCGAAAGCCUGACGGAGCAACGCCGCGCUGAGUGAUGCAAGGUCUUCGGCAUCGUAAAACUCUGUUAUUAGGGAAGAACACAAUGUGUAAGUAACUAUGCACGUCUUGACGGUACCUAAACUGAAAGCCACGGUAACUACAUGCCAGCAGCCGCGGUAAUACGUAGGUGGCAAGCGUUAUC